GACUGCCUGGCGUAGUUGUUAUGGUGCUUACGCUUAGAAUUGAUUUGAUAUCAAGUGGUCGCAGGUUCGAUCCUUGCGAAGACG
This is a non-coding RNA of Mycena maculata, 84 nucleotides long. The record is from the annotation of a GenBank genome assembly. NCBI's taxonomy places the organism in Eukaryota, Fungi, Basidiomycota, Agaricomycetes, Agaricales, Mycenaceae.